This 409-nucleotide ribosomal RNA is filed under the name Chloroflexota bacterium. RNAcentral describes it as "Chloroflexi bacterium partial 16S ribosomal RNA". It matches the Rfam family "Bacterial small subunit ribosomal RNA", at positions 355 to 776 of the family's 1533-position model. Lineage: Bacteria; Bacillati; Chloroflexota. The record is from RNAcentral.
UGGGGAAUAUUGCACAAUGGGCGAAAGCCUGAUGCAGCGACGCCGCGUGAGGGAUGACGGCCUUCGGGUUGUAAACCUCUUUCAGCAGGGACGAAGCGCAAGUGACGGUACCUGCAGAAGAAGCACCGGCUAACUACGUGCCAACAGCCGCGGUAAUACGUAGGGUGCAAGCGUUAAUCGGAAUUACUGGGCGUAAAGCGCACGCAGGCGGUUUGUUAAGUCAGAUGUGAAAUCCCCGGGCUCAACCUGGGAACUGCAUCUGAUACUGGCAAGCUUGAGUCUCGUAGAGGGGGGUAGAAUUCCAGGUGUAGCGGUGAAAUGCGUAGAGAUCUGGAGGAAUACCGGUGGCGAAGGCGGCCCCCUGGACGAAGACUGACGCUCAGGUGCGAAAGCGUGGGGAGCGAACAGG